Molecule: transfer RNA, 87 nt
Filed under: Chloroflexota bacterium
Lineage: Bacteria; Bacillati; Chloroflexota
Also listed under: 1 other name
Description: Chloroflexi bacterium tRNA-Ser
Rfam family: tRNA
About the family: Transfer RNA (tRNA) molecules are approximately 80 nucleotides in length. Their secondary structure includes four short double-helical elements and three loops (D, anti-codon, and T loops).
Source: RNAcentral
GGAGAGGUGCCGGAGCGGUUGAACGGGCCCGUCUCGAAAAUGGGUAUAGCCUUAUGGCUAUCGAGGGUUCGAAUCCCUCCCUCUCCG